RNAcentral lists this unclassified non-coding RNA (251 nucleotides) under plant metagenome. RNAcentral's name for it is "partial contains small subunit ribosomal RNA, internal transcribed spacer 1, and 5.8S ribosomal RNA". The stretch from base 1 to 54 matches the Rfam family "Eukaryotic small subunit ribosomal RNA", at positions 1778 to 1831 of the family's 1831-position model. The record is from RNAcentral.
GGAAGUAAAAGUCCUAACAAGGUCUCCGUAGGUGAACCUGCGGAGGGAUCAUUACAGAGUUCAUGCCCUAACGGGUAGAUCUCCCACCCUAUGUUAUCAUCACUUUGUUGCUUUGGCGGGCCGUCAGGCCUCGGCUUGGCUACCGGCUCUCGCUGGUAAGCGCCCGCCAGAGAACCCCAAACCCUGAAUAUCAGUGUCGUCUGAGUACUAUAUAAUAGUUAAAACUUUCAACAACGGAUCUCUUGGUUCUG